UACGUAGGGUGCGAGCGUUAAUCGGAAUUACUGGGCGUAAAGCGUGCGCAGGCGGUUCGUUAAGUCAGAUGUGAAAGCCCCGGGCUCAACCUGGGAACUGCAUUUGAAACUGGCGGGCUUGAGUAUGGCAGAGGGGGGUGGAAUUCCGCGUGUAGCAGUGAAAUGCGUAGAGAUGCGGAGGAACACCGAUGGCGAAGGCAGCCCCCUGGGCCAUACUGACGCUCAGGCACGAAAGCGUGGGGAGCAAACAGG
Molecule: ribosomal RNA, 252 nt
Filed under: uncultured bacterium
Lineage: Bacteria
Description: partial 16S ribosomal RNA
Rfam family: Bacterial small subunit ribosomal RNA
Source: RNAcentral